RNA transcript from Jatropha curcas, 1618 nucleotides. It is a transcript of the gene named basal transcription factor complex subunit-like protein, with no coding region annotated. The record is from RefSeq and is a predicted model, not a curated record. Lineage: Eukaryota; Viridiplantae; Streptophyta; Magnoliopsida; Malpighiales; Euphorbiaceae.
GUCCCUCCACAACACUUUUUCGUUCAUCGUUAUAUUUCGAAAGAACACGAACGAGCCAGUGGUUUGUUGCGCCAAACGAGUGAACUACUCAGGUUUCCAACUUCACUUCUUCCCUCUCUCUAUUGAUCCAGUUUCGGCCACUGGAUUUUGCAUAAGUUCUUUUUUUGCAGAGGGAGAAAGUAAAGUGAAGAAGAAAGAGGAGUGAAGUGAUUUCUCGUUAUCUGUCCCUCCAGAUUCCUGAAACAGACACUUCCAAAACAAAUUGGCAACUAUAAAGAAAGGGAAAAGAAUCCUCUGAUGGCUUCAGUUCCUUCAAAACUCUACUCUGAUGAUGUUAGUCUUGUUAUGGUGUUAUUGGACACUAAUCCGUUUUUCUGGACCACUUCUUCUCUCCUGUUUUCCCAAUUUCUCUCUCACGUGCUUGCAUUUUUGAACUCCAUUUUGCUGCUUAAUCAACUGAACCAAGUAGUGGUGAUUGCUACUGGGUAUAAUUCAUGCAACUAUGUUUACGAUUCGUCUUUGGCAGCGAAUCAGAGCUCGGAAGAUGGGAGAAUGCCUGCUUUAUACUCCAAUUUGUUGCAGGCAUUGGAGGAGUUUAUGAUCAAAGAUGAAAAGUUGGGGAAGGAGGAGUCUCAAGGAAAGAUUGCUUCUUCGUUGCUCUCUGGGUCAUUAUCCAUGGCUCUUUGUUAUAUACAACGGGUCUUUCGUUCAGGACCACUCAAUCCUCAGCCUCGAAUUUUGUGUUUGCAGGGAUCUCCAGACGGACCUGAACAAUAUGUUGCAGUAAUGAAUGCAAUAUUCUCUGCUCAACGCUCGAUGGUCCCUAUAGACUCUUGUUAUGUUGGUUCUCACAAUUCAGCCUUCCUCCAGCAGCAGGCUUCUUACAUAACUGGAGGUGUAUAUGUUAAACCUCAACAUUUGGAUGGGCUGUUUCAGUAUUUGGUGACUGUAUUUGCAACUGACUUGCAUUGUCGCAGCUUCUUGCAACUUCCCAGGCCUGCUGGUGUUGAUUUUCGUGCAUCGUGUUUUUGCCAUAAAACUACAAUUGAUAUGGGGUACAUAUGUUCUGUAUGUUUAUCCAUAUUCUGUAAGCAGCAUAAAAAAUGUUCAACCUGCGGGUCAGUGUUUGGUCAAUCCCAAUCAGAUAAUUCCUCAGCAUCAGAUCGCAAGAGAAAGGCUCCAGAAACAUGAUCUAGCUCUUCUAGAUGCAUAUUGUAAGUUAUUGCAUCACAGAUUUUGUUAACUACCAAGACUAGCGAUAAUAUGAAAUCUCAAGUGCUGCAUUUUGCUGAAAGACAACUUGGAGUGGUGUUGCUCGCAGGAAACAUGUUUAGAGAUUGGAUGAAAUAGAGUUUUAUGGAGUUGUUCAAUAUGAGCACAGAUCUAAUUUUGGGUGAUAUUUGGAGUGACUCGAGGGCUUCCUUGCUCCUCUUCAAGAUUUUCCUUAGAACUUUUUCCCAAUAAACAACCGAAGGAAAUAUAGAAGCUAGAGAUGUUUUAUUUGCAGUUUGUUUAGUCGUAUAUUUUAAUGUGUACUCCUAAAAAUCAAAAGCAAUUUAUUGAUUAGACCAAACAUCAGCAACUAUAUAUUAAUGCCAUCCUUAUUUUUUUAUAUAAA